Sapajus apella (tufted capuchin) is the source of this 624-nucleotide RNA transcript. It is a transcript of the gene named ATP synthase F(0) complex subunit C2, mitochondrial pseudogene, with no coding region annotated. The record is from RefSeq and is a predicted model, not a curated record. The transcript has a single exon. Lineage: Eukaryota; Metazoa; Chordata; Mammalia; Primates; Cebidae.
UUUCCUGCCAGAGCCCCUCACCCCCCUGAAAAUGUUUGCCUGCUCCAAGUUUGUCUCCACUUCCUCCUUGGUCAAGAGCACCUCACAGCUGCUGAGCCGUCCACUAUCUGCAGUUUUGCUGAAACGACUGGAGACACUGACAGAUGAGAGCCCCAGCAGCUUGGCAGUCUCACGUCCCCUUACCUCAUUUGUCUCUAGCUGCAGCUUCCAAACCAGCGCCAUUUCAAGGGACAUCGACACAGCCGCCAAGUUCAUUGGGGCUGGGGCUGCCACAGUUGGGGUGGCCAGCUCUGGGGCUGGGAUUGGGACUGUGUUUGGGAGCCUCAUCAUUGGUUAAGCCAGGAACCCUUCUCUGAUGCAACAGCUCUUCUCCUACGCCAUUCUGGGCUUUGCCCUCUCGGAGGCCAUGGGGCUCUUUUGCCUGAUGGUGGCCUUUCUCAUCCUCUUCGCCAUGUGAAGAAGCCGUCUCCAUAUCCCAUAGUUCUUUCUCCCACGUAUGGUCAGCCCUGUGUGUUCCUUUUCCUAUACCUCCCCAGGUAUCCUGGGGAACGUGGUUGGCUCAGGGUUUGACAGAGAAAAGACAAAUAAAUACUGUAUUAAUAAGAAAAAAAAAAAAAAAAAAAA